CAGUAGCCACGGUAAAACGUAGGGUGCAAGCGUUAAUCGGAAUUACUGGGCGUAAAGCGUGCGCAGGCGGUUAUAUAAGUCAGAUGUGAAAUCCCCGGGCUCAACCUGGGAACUGCAUUUGAGACUGUAUGGCUAGAGUGUGUCAGAGGGGGGUAGAAUUCCACGUGUAGCAGUGAAAUGCGUAGAUAUGUGGAGGAAUACCGAUGGCGAAGGCAGCCCCCUGGGAUAACACUGACGCUCAUGCACGAAAGCGUGGGGAGCAAACAGGAUUAGAUACCCCAGUAGUCCCUGUCUCUUAUAC
RNAcentral lists this ribosomal RNA (301 nucleotides) under uncultured bacterium. Its description in RNAcentral is "partial 16S ribosomal RNA". It matches the Rfam family "Bacterial small subunit ribosomal RNA", at positions 509 to 807 of the family's 1533-position model. The record is from RNAcentral.